AACGUAGGUUCCGAGCGUUAUCCGGAUUUACUGGGCGUAAAGCGCGUUCAGGCGGUUUGGCAAGUCGGGCAUGAAAUCUCUCGGCUCAACCGGGAGAGGUUGUCCGAUACUGCUGGACUUGAGGGCAGUAGAGGGUGGUGGAAUUCCAGGUGUAGCGGUGAAAUGCGUAGAUAUCUGGAGGAAUACCGGUGGCGAAGGCGGCAUCCUGGACCGACAUUGACGCUGAACGGCGAAAGCUAGGGGAGCAAACGGG
Molecule: ribosomal RNA, 253 nt
Filed under: uncultured bacterium
Lineage: Bacteria
Description: partial 16S ribosomal RNA
Rfam family: Bacterial small subunit ribosomal RNA
Source: RNAcentral